UGGGGAAUCUUGCGCAAUGGGGGAAACCCUGACGCAGCAACGCCGUGUGAGUGAUGAAGGCUUUCGGGUCGUAAAGCUCUGUCAGAUGGGAAGAAUUAGUCUGCUGAAAAUAUUGGCAGAUGAUGACGGUACCAUCGAAGGAAGCACCGGCUAACUCCGUGCCAGCAGCCGCGGUAAUACGGAGGGUGCAAGCGUUGUUCGGAAUUAUUGGGCGUAACGCGCGUGUAGGCGGAUGAAUAAGUCAGGUGUGAAAUCCCUUGACUCAAUCAAGGAACUGAACGUGAAACUAUUUGUCUCGAGUACGAUAGGGGAGGGCGGAAUUCCCAGUGUAGAGGUGAAAUUCAUAGAUAUUGGGAGGAACACCAGAGGCGAAGGCGACCCUCUGGAUCGAUACUGACGCUGAGACGCGAAAGCGUGGGUAGCAAACA
RNAcentral lists this ribosomal RNA (428 nucleotides) under uncultured prokaryote. RNAcentral describes it as "bacterial SSU rRNA". It matches the Rfam family "Bacterial small subunit ribosomal RNA", at positions 355 to 774 of the family's 1533-position model. The record is from RNAcentral.